CCAAGUUUGCAUCAGAGAGAAGGAGGAAGUGACAUGAAGUGCCUUGACAGCAGUGGAUUGUUAUCCAGUGACAUACAAACCAAACAUCAGGGGUGACAUAUAAACUCUUUCAGGAGCAUUUUUAUAAUGACAUCCUAGUAACUUCCUAAUGUAGAGGCGUUUAUAAAAUGCCUCCAUCUGAAUAUACAGCUUCAUCAUAACCAGCUAAUUAGUCACAGUGAAUUAAAUCUAGAUGAUUUGGGAUUCUGCAGGAAUGUGACCUCUGAACCAAAAUGUCUCCAAGUGUGGUAAAGCCAGAAACUUCCUUACUUUUGGGGACAUUUUUCCAGGUCCUCAUUUGUAUAAUCUUGAAAUUGUAAAAAUGUGUGAAUGCAAUCCGUCAGAGUUUCCGAUCUCCUUAUCUGAGUGGAGUCUUUUGGCUGAUGCGUGUUCCCUUGUUCGUGGAUCCAAAUAACUAAAAAACGACUGGCUUCAGUUUUAGUUA
Paramormyrops kingsleyae is the source of this 484-nucleotide non-coding RNA. The record is from RefSeq and is a predicted model, not a curated record. Lineage: Eukaryota; Metazoa; Chordata; Actinopteri; Osteoglossiformes; Mormyridae.